CAGGCGCCCGGCCCUCCCAGCCUCUGCCCCCGGACCCAGAAGAUCUAGAAGGAGCCGCAGGGCUCCAGCCCUGCGCGCCCGCCAUGGGCCCCCGCCGCCACAAACGCAAGCCCGAAACACCAAGGAGGCGCCCCGCGAGCCCGGCUCCCGCCGCCCCCCGGCCGACCCCGUCCUUAGGCACGUCCUCCCGUCCACUUGCUCGCCGGAGACAUACAGUCCUGAAGGAGAUCCGAACUCUUCAGAAGACCACACACCUGCUGUUAAGAAAGAGCCCCUUCUGCCGCCUGGCAAGAGAAAUAUGUGUUCAAUUCACUCGUGGUGUGGACUUCAAUUGGCAAGCCCAGGCCCUGUUGGCCCUACAAGAGGCGGCAGAAGCAUUUCUAGUUCAUCUCUUUGAGGAUGCCUAUCUCCUCUCCUUACACGCCGGCCGCGUCACGCUCUUCCCGAAGGAUGUGCAGCUGGCCCGGAGGAUCCGAGGCAUUCAGGAAGGGCUUGGCUGAGCUCUGGCCACCCGCCCAAGUCUCUGGUUGAUACCAGAGCUUCUGCCUGUAGCCAGGACCAGAUCCAUGGAGUACAAGGUGUUGCCUGGACUUGCUCUCUCAAAGCAGAGCGUGCGAGUUGUUUUUGUAGUUAGUUGUUUUUUAGAAGAAGACUGCAUGGCUUUCCUCUGUAACAGAGGCAAUAUAUGAGAGAAUCAACACAUUCCAGAAAUCCCGAGAAUAAUUUUCAGAUGAAGAGACUCUAAGGUUGACUUCACUUUGCAAAUUAUUCAUGUGACUGAUGAUUUGGAAGACAUCAGACUUUCUAGGUUAUAGGCAAAAAGGAUAUUUACUGAUUAUUUUAAAUCUUCUUGUACCAUUUAAAUUUUUUUACCAUAUAUAUAUAUUUACUUUUAUUUAAAACAUGAUGGAAAAAAAUAAGAGAAAACCAGUCAGUUGCAUGGAAGAGCCUGGUGCAUCCAGCGUACAAAUCUCUGUCUUCAGAUUGACUUCAUCAUUAACGGCAGAAGCAAGUUUGUACGUGGACUGUACCUGUCAACAGAUUAUACAGCUUUUCAAAAACUCAAUUGGGAUGAAAAUAGAAAAUUGUUAAGGUUUGAUGUUCUGGCUCCUUCUGGUAAAUUCCUGCCAAAAUCAUUCAGAAAUUCCAACUUGUAGAAUUUAUUUUAUUCUUUAUUUGCAAAUCAUAGACAAUGUAUCAUAAUUUAUACUUCAGAAUUUUUCAUUCCAGGAUUUUAAAGAGCCUUUUCAAUGUUUUUACAGGUAUUUUUAUAACUUCCUUGUGGAAAGAGAAUAAAAAUUAUUCUUAAUGAAAAAAAUUUGAAGCAAAGUUACUGUUAUACAUAGAUUAUACUAUGUUCUUUGUGUGUUAGCAUUAAAUUCUUCAUUUGGACACUUUGCCAACAACCACAAUUUAAACAAGAGAAUUGAGGGAUGUAUCUUUGCCUCCAGUGGAGUAGAGUAUGAGCCAAUAAAAUCCUUGCCCUUCUCUUGUAACUGAAAGCAGUUUAAGAGACUUCCAGGGAAAUAGGAAGUGCCACCUGAAGACGUUUAGAUACUGUGUGUGAUGAAAAUGAUUAGUGAGGGUGGAUACUAAUAACGAUGCAUCAGCCAACUGAAUUCAAACUAAAGGGAAGGACCAAGUUCUGUUGUUUGAUAAAUUUUAACCCUUUGUAAAAACCUUUUCCUGUUCGACAUCAACUCAUUUUUAUGUAAACAUUGAAAUAAAGCUUAUCUAUGAAUACAUUUAAA
RNAcentral lists this unclassified non-coding RNA (1751 nucleotides) under Bos taurus (domestic cattle). Its description in RNAcentral is "CENP-A protein". Lineage: Eukaryota; Metazoa; Chordata; Mammalia; Artiodactyla; Bovidae. The record is from RNAcentral.